AUUGAACGCUGGCGGCAGGCCUAACACAUGCAAGUCGAGCGGAUGAAGGGAGCUUGCUCCUGGAUUCAGCGGCGGACGGGUGAGUAAUGCCUAGGAAUCUGCCUGGUAGUGGGGGGGAACGUCCGGAAACGGGCGCUAAUACCGCAUACGUCGUGCGGGAGAAAGUGGGGGAUCUUCGGACCUUCCGCUAUCAGGUGAGCCUAGGCGGGAUUUGCGAGUUGGUGGGGUAAGGGCCUGCAAGGGCGACGAUCCGUUACUGAUCUGUGGGGGUGGUCAGUGACCGGGGAGGUGAGACACGGUCCAGGGUCCUACGGGAGGGCGCAGUGGGGAAUGGUGGACAAUGGGGGAAAGCCUGAUCCAGCGAUGGCACGCGUGUGAAGAAGGUCUUCGGAUUGUAAAGCACUUUUAGUUGGGAGAAAGGGCAGUAAGUUAAUACCUUGCUGUUGUGACGUUACCAGCUGAAGAAGCACCGGCUAACUUCGUG
This 484-nucleotide ribosomal RNA is filed under the name uncultured bacterium. Its description in RNAcentral is "partial 16S ribosomal RNA". It matches the Rfam family "Bacterial small subunit ribosomal RNA", at positions 28 to 507 of the family's 1533-position model. The record is from RNAcentral.